AAUCAUUCCAAUCUUUCAUCCAUUUUUUUCUCUCGCCCAUUUCAAAAGAACCCUAAUUUCCCCUCAUUAUCUAUCGCCGUCUCUGUUCAAUCCUCAACACGUCUUCCUUGAUUGUAAAACGAUAUCUGAUAAUCAACAAGAAGAUGACAUAUUAAGAAGAAAGGUACGAAGGGAACGGUAAAGAUGUUGAAACCUUUCACGGCGGAGGCUCUUCUCCUUCGGCUGGAGCCAACGACGACGGCGGCUGCGGCACCGAAGAGUUUAGCGAUUCUAAGUCACAGCUUCCAUGUGAAUUUUUGGGUUAGAGCGUUGCUUCUGUUAGCUUGCAGGUAACACGUCCUUCGACUACACGUCCUUCGACUACACGUCCUUCGACUGAAAUAAUGUUCUUUUAGCUUGCACGUACAAGUAAAAAUACCAUGUAAAUGAUAAAUUUAGCCAACUUAGAUGUAGAAUAAUGUUCUUUUGUGCUUAAAUAUGUCUAUGAAGGUAUAGGACCUGAGUUUGUUUGAAUUAAACUUAUAUAUGUGCGAUUUUA
RNAcentral lists this long non-coding RNA (538 nucleotides) under Helianthus annuus (common sunflower). Lineage: Eukaryota; Viridiplantae; Streptophyta; Magnoliopsida; Asterales; Asteraceae. The record is from RNAcentral.